GAUGAAGAACGCAGCGAAAUGCGAUACGUAAUGUGAAUUGCAGAAUUCAGUGAAUCAUCGAGUCUUUGAACGCACAUUGCGCCCCCUGGUAUUCCGGGGGGCAUGCCUGUCCGAGCGUCAUUGCUGCCCUCAAGCACGGCUUGUGUGUUGGGCCUCCGUCCUCCCGGGGGACGGGCCCGAAAGGCAGCGGCGGCACCGCGUCCGGUCCUCGAGCGUAUGGGGCUUCGUCACCCGCUCUUGUAGGCCCGGCCGGCGCUUGCCGACACAUCAAUCUUUUUUCCAGGUUGACCUCGGAUCAGGUAGGGAUACCCGCUGAACUUAAGCAUAUCAAUAAGCGGAGGA
RNAcentral lists this unclassified non-coding RNA (342 nucleotides) under soil metagenome. Its description in RNAcentral is "partial contains 5.8S ribosomal RNA, internal transcribed spacer 2, and large subunit ribosomal RNA". The stretch from base 1 to 120 matches the Rfam family "5.8S ribosomal RNA", at positions 35 to 154 of the family's 154-position model. The record is from RNAcentral.